AUUUAAGUAGCUUAAUUUAAAGCUUAGUAUUGAAGAUACUAUGAUGAUUUUAAUAAUCUUUAAAUA
This 66-nucleotide transfer RNA is filed under the name Salganea raggei. RNAcentral describes it as "tRNA-Phe". Lineage: Eukaryota; Metazoa; Arthropoda; Insecta; Blattodea; Blaberidae. The record is from RNAcentral.